This 301-nucleotide ribosomal RNA is filed under the name uncultured bacterium. Its description in RNAcentral is "partial 16S ribosomal RNA". It matches the Rfam family "Bacterial small subunit ribosomal RNA", at positions 509 to 808 of the family's 1533-position model. The record is from RNAcentral.
CAGCCGCCGCGGUAAUACGAAGGUCCCGAGCGUUGUUCGGAAUCACUGGGCGUAAAGGGAGCGUAGGCGGCGUGGUAAGUCAGAUGUGAAAUCCCGGGGCUCAACCCCGGAACUGCAUCCGAUACUGCCAUGCUAGAGGAUUGGAGAGGUAGCUGGAAUUCUUGGUGUAGCAGUGAAAUGCGUGGAGAUCAAGAGGAACACUCGUGGCGAAAGCGAGCUACUGGACAAUAACUGACGCUGAGGCUCGAAGGCCAGGGUAGCGAAAGGGAUUAGAUACCCCGGUAGUCCCUGUCUCUUAUAU